Molecule: ribosomal RNA, 494 nt
Filed under: uncultured bacterium
Lineage: Bacteria
Description: partial 16S ribosomal RNA
Rfam family: Bacterial small subunit ribosomal RNA
Source: RNAcentral
GACGAACGCUGGCGGCGUGCUUAACACAUGCAAGUCGAACGGAAAGGCCUGCUUUCCCUUGUGGAUUGCGGGUACUCGAGUGGCGAACGGGUGAGUAACACGUGAGUGAUCUGCCCCCAACUUGGGUAUAAGCCUGGGAAACUGGGUCUAAUUCCCGAUAGGACUGCAGGGUGGUGCCUGUGGUGGAAAACGAUGUUCUAGUGGUUGGGGAUGAGCUCGCGGCCUAUCAGCUUGUUGGUGGGGUAAUGGCCUACCAAGGCGGCGACGGGUAGCCGGCCUGGGAGGGUGGACGGGCGCAUUGGGACUGCGAUACGGCCCAGACUCCUACGGGAGGCAGCAGUGGGGAGUAAUGCACGGUGGGCGGAAGCCUGAUGCAGCGACGCCGCGUGGGGGAUGACGGCCUUCGGGUUGUAAACUCCUUUCGACCGCGAGGAAGCCACCUGGUUGGAAGGGUGGUGACGGUAGUGGUAGAAGAAGCACCGGCUAACUACGUG